This 112-nucleotide ribosomal RNA is filed under the name Pogona vitticeps (central bearded dragon). Lineage: Eukaryota; Metazoa; Chordata; Lepidosauria; Squamata; Agamidae. The record is from RNAcentral.
ACCCGACUAUUUUGACCAUGCUGAUCUUGUCAGAUCCUGGGAGCAAAGCAGGGUCAGGCCUGGUUAAUACUCAGAUGGGAGGCCACCAAGGAAUACCAAGGUUCUUCAGGUA